RNAcentral lists this transfer RNA (72 nucleotides) under Urocitellus parryii (Arctic ground squirrel). RNAcentral describes it as "Spermophilus parryii (Arctic ground squirrel) tRNA". It matches the Rfam family "tRNA". Rfam says of the family: Transfer RNA (tRNA) molecules are approximately 80 nucleotides in length. RNAcentral also lists the same sequence under 1 other name. Lineage: Eukaryota; Metazoa; Chordata; Mammalia; Rodentia; Sciuridae. The record is from Rfam by way of RNAcentral.
GGGGUUGUGGCUCAGCGGUAGAGUGUUUGCCUAGCAUGUGUGAGGUCCUGGGUUCAAUCCUCAGCACCACCU